Molecule: ribosomal RNA, 613 nt
Filed under: Enterobacter cloacae
Lineage: Bacteria; Pseudomonadati; Pseudomonadota; Gammaproteobacteria; Enterobacterales; Enterobacteriaceae
Description: bacterial SSU rRNA
Rfam family: Bacterial small subunit ribosomal RNA
Source: RNAcentral
CGAGUGGCGGACGGGUGAGUAAUGUCUGGGAAACUGCCUGAUGGAGGGGGAUAACUACUGGAAACGGUAGCUAAUACCGCAUAACGUCGCAAGACCAAAGAGGGGGACCUUCGGGCCUCUUGCCAUCGGAUGUGCCCAGAUGGGAUUAGCUAGUAGGUGGGGUAACGGCUCACCUAGGCGACGAUCCCUAGCUGGUCUGAGAGGAUGACCAGCCACACUGGAACUGAGACACGGUCCAGACUCCUACGGGAGGCAGCAGUGGGGAAUAUUGCACAAUGGGCGCAAGCCUGAUGCAGCCAUGCCGCGUGUAUGAAGAAGGCCUUCGGGUUGUAAAGUACUUUCAGCGGGGAGGAAGGCGUUAAGGUUAAUAACCUUGUCGAUUGACGUUACCCGCAGAAGAAGCACCGGCUAACUCCGUGCCAGCAGCCGCGGUAAUACGGAGGGUGCAAGCGUUAAUCGGAAUUACUGGGCGUAAAGCGCACGCAGGCGGUCUGUCAAGUCGGAUGUGAAAUCCCCGGGCUCAACCUGGGAACUGCAUUCGAAACUGGCAGGCUAGAGUCUUGUAGAGGGGGGUAGAAUUCCAGGUGUAACGGUGAAAUGCGUAGAGAUCUGG